Molecule: ribosomal RNA, 407 nt
Filed under: uncultured bacterium
Lineage: Bacteria
Description: partial 16S ribosomal RNA
Rfam family: Bacterial small subunit ribosomal RNA
Source: RNAcentral
AUUGAUCGAUGGCGGCAGGUCUAAAACAUGCACGUCGAGCGGAGCGGCGGACGGGUGAUUAAUGCCUCGGAAUCUGCCUGGUUGUGGGUGAUCACGUCCGGAAAUGGGCGCUAAUACCGCAUCCUCUCAGUUGAGCCUAGGUCGGAUUAGCUAGUUGGUGGGGUAAAGGCCUACCAAGGCGACGAUCCGUAACUGGUCUGAGAGGAUGAUCAGUCACACUGGAACUGAGACACGGUCCAGACUCCUACGGGAGGCAGCAGUGGGGAAUAUUGGACAAUGGGCGAAAGCCUGAUCCAGCCAUGCCGCGUGUGUGAAGAAGGUCUGCGGAUUGUAAAGCACUUUAAGUUGGGAGGCGUUACCAACAGAAUAAGCACCGGCUAACUUCGUUCCAGCAGCCGCGGUAAUAC